UUUUUUUUUCUUCUCUCUUUUUUUUUUUUUUUACAAAAUCCAUUGCUUUUGAUAAUAAAGUAAAAAACAUUUAUUAGUCAACUUUGCUGGGGGCAACAAACAACCCUAAAAUUUCGGUUACUUACAACAAAGGUUUACUUUUUAUCACGUUACAUGUUAGUUAUAGGUCAUUGUGGGGUCAACUGUGGGGCUGCUCCAUGGAUAACAUUCAUUCCAGAACUCAGCUGGAGGAGCAGCUCCUCUAUGGAAUAAGCCAUUCUGGUGGCAAAGGGAAAAAAGCUAGAGAGCUGUUGUCAACAGGGAGUGGCCUGAAGGCAUCUGUUCACAGGUCACAUGAGUGAGUCCCAUGUCAGUGGGGCAGAAAUGUGUACUCCUCUCAUGGUGGGCACUAACAGUCCAAUGGCAAUGACUGGAGAUGUGUAAUUCUCUCACAGGAAGGAAAAGUGAAGCACUGGGAAGCAUAAUAAAAAUCUACAGCACACUCCUUAUCUUAGCGUAAAACACAGCUGGCCUCGUCUCCCACCAUUCCUUAUCUUGUCUGUGCUCUGGCCACAUUGAAUGGUCUCCUUUCUCCCUAAACACAUGAUGCCACACUUUCAUGUCUGUUUCCUAUGCUGGAAAUGAAAUUCCCUUCAUUUUCUGCCAAACAGAGUGGCUCUCUGCCUGCAAGGUCCAGUUCACAUUCUGCCUACUUUAUAAAGCCUUUCCCAACUCUCCAGUUGAAAUUAAGCACUCCUCCUUUGGAGCAAAUGGGGCAGACUGGCUGUACAUCCAGCUCUAAUUCAAUCUUACUUGGUCAGUCUGGUAACUUCCUUGGUAAGUUCUUUAUUGGUAAGUCUGGAUAAAAAGCUACUGAAGGUUGGGAGGCCAAGGCGGGUGGAUCACUUGAGGUCAGGAGUUCAAAACCAGCCUGGUGAACAUGGUGAAACCCCAUAUCACUAAAAAUACAAAACAAUUAGCCGGGUGGUGACUGUGGCAGGGGCCCAUAAUCCCAGCUACUCUGGAGGCUGAGACAGGAGAAUUGCUUAAACCCAGGAGCUGGAGGUUGCAGCAAGCUGAAAUUGCACCACUGCAUUCCAGCCUGGGCGACAGAACAAGUCUCCAUCUUAAAAAAAAAAAAAAAAA
Molecule: long non-coding RNA, 1125 nt
Filed under: Homo sapiens (human)
Lineage: Eukaryota; Metazoa; Chordata; Mammalia; Primates; Hominidae
Description: novel transcript, sense intronic to RP11-654K19.6
Source: RNAcentral